GGCGGCGUGCCUAAUACAUGCAAGUCGAGCGAACGGACGAGAAGCUUGCUUCUCUGAUGUUAGCGGCGGACGGGUGAGUAACACGUGGAUAACCUACCUAUAAGACUGGGAUAACCUCGGGAAACCGGAGCUAAUACCGGAUAAUAUUUUGAACCGCAUGGUUCAAAAGUGAAAGACGGUCUUGCUGUCACUUAUAGAUGGAUCCGCGCUGCAUUAGCUAGUUGGUAAGGUAACGGCUUACCAAGGCAACGAUGCAUAGCCGACCUGAGAGGGUGAUCGGCCACACUGGAACUGAGACACGGUCCAGACUCCUACGGGAGGCAGCAGUAGGGAAUCUUCCGCAAUGGGCGAAAGCCUGACGGAGCAACGCCGCGUGAGUGAUGAAGGUCUUCGGAUCGUAAAACUCUGUUAUUAGGGAAGAACAUAUGUGUAAGUAACUGUGCACAUCUUGACGGUACCUAAUCAGAAAGCCACGGCUAACUACGUGCCAGCAGCCGCGGUAAUACGUAGGUGGCAAGCGUUAUCCGGAAUUAUUGGGCGUAAAGCGCGCGUAGGCGGUUUUUUAAGUCUGAUGUGAAAGCCCACGGCUCAACCGUGGAGGGUCAUUGGAAACUGGAAAACUUGAGUGCAGAAGAGGAAAGUGGAAUUCCAUGUGUAGCGGUGAAAUGCGCAGAGAUAUGGAGGUACACCAGUGGCGAAGGCGACUUUCU
Molecule: ribosomal RNA, 710 nt
Filed under: uncultured Staphylococcus sp.
Lineage: Bacteria; Bacillati; Bacillota; Bacilli; Caryophanales; Staphylococcaceae
Description: bacterial SSU rRNA
Rfam family: Bacterial small subunit ribosomal RNA
Source: RNAcentral